RNAcentral lists this ribosomal RNA (539 nucleotides) under Betta channoides. RNAcentral's name for it is "partial 16S ribosomal RNA". It matches the Rfam family "Bacterial large subunit ribosomal RNA", at positions 1856 to 2597 of the family's 2925-position model. Lineage: Eukaryota; Metazoa; Chordata; Actinopteri; Anabantiformes; Osphronemidae. The record is from RNAcentral.
CGUCUGCCCUGUGACAAUAGUUCAACGGCCGCGGUAUUUUGACCGUGCAAAGGUAGCGCAAUCACUUGUCUUUUAAAUGAAGACCUGUAUGAGUGGCACGACGAGGGCUUAACUGUCUCCUUUUUCCAGUCAAUGAAAUUGAUCUUUCCGUGCAGAAGCGGGAAUAUAACCAUAAGACGAGAAGACCCUAUGGAGCUUUAGACACAAGACAGAUCUUGUUAAACAUCUCAAAACAAAGAGACAAACAAAAAGAACCCUGCCCCAAUGUCUUUGGUUGGGGCGACCACGGGGAAACAAAUAACCCCCAUGCGGACUGAGAAAACAAUUCUCACAACCAAGAGCUACCGCUCUAAUUAACAGAAACUCUGACCUUAAGAUCCGGCAAUGCCGAUCAACGAACCGAGAUACCCUAGGGAUAACAGCGCAAUCCCCUUCUAGAGUCCAUAUCGACAAGGGGGUUUACGACCUCGAUGUUGGAUCAGGACAACCUAAUGGUGCAGCAGCUAUUAAGGGUUCGUUUGUUCAACGAUUAAAGUCCU